CCAAAACCAUGGAUAUCUUCGUCAGUUCCCAAAUUCUUAGAAUUCCUUCCUCUCUUAUCUCUUCUCCGUCCAAAUUUUACUAACAAACUUUUAGCCCUAAAAUUCCAAACCAUCUGUAUACAUACACAGACAGAGAGCUCAAUUUCUUUUUUGAUGAAUCAAAAUGUUGUUCUACCUAAUCUCUUCAUUUACAUUAUCUUUCUCAUUUCCAUCAUUUUCUUCUCAAAGUUCCCCUAACCCUAACAUUUCCCCCAACAUUUUCAUCUUCGUUUUUCAAAUUAGCCAAAAAAACUCAAGUAAAUUAGGCUUUAAACGAAUCUAUUUUUCACUGAUUCGUCAUUAAUUCAUCAUUCUAUAGUCUCUAAUUAUUUCGUAUCCAUGGAAACUUUUUUGCAACUUAAAUUGAAGUCCUUGUUUCAGUGAUUGAUUUCAUUUUGUUUCUUCUCGCACAGAAAAUUAUCAUUUUGUUGGAAUUUGGAUAUGUUUGCUCAACUACUGAUUUGUCAGGUUGAAGAAUGUAAGUAAAUGAAGCCGAAACAAUCCAGAGAAUGGAGCUUUUAAUUCUAUCAACACUUGAAUGGAAGAUGAAUCCAGCAACUCAUAUUUCAUUGCUUGAUCACAUUAUUAGAAGAUUUGGAUUCCAAGUUUUUUCAUUACCUUCCAUCAGUUUAGUUGCGGCAGUAAUGCUAAAUGUUAUUGAUGAGGUUGAAACUGAAAACCCAAUGGAAUAUCAACACCAACUCAUGACUGCUCUUAAACUCACAAAGGAGGAUGUAAAUGAGUGUUAUUAGUUCCUAAUGAAGUGGACAUUUAGCUGCAAUGUCAAUUAAACGAAAGUAGGCUUUUAGUAGUUUUACUUAUUGUUAGUAUCCAUGUUACUGAGGAGGGAGCUGAUGAGUGUCAAGAUUUGGCAGUUUCAGGAAGAGAGAACUGUUAGAUCAGGGGCUUUUUCUGCCGUGGUGGGGUGUGAAUGUUGGCAAGUCACUUGAGAACCUCAACAAUUAGCAAGAGUCUUUACUUCAGUUUUUCAGUAUCCUCUCCUAGUAGCACUGUUAUCCUAUUUGCAGCAGUGCAUCUUGACAAAGCUACGUAUAGUUGGACAUGGCCGAAUACGUGAGUCCUCCCUCCUACGGUCGGGGCUCAACCUCGUCAUCUGAAAGACCACAGAAUUCAUCGGAACCAUCUGAUGUAAAAUCUUCAUUAGCAACUGACCUGUACACACCAACAAAUUUACACAUAUUUAGUGGUAAUUAAUAAUGAAGUGUAUAUCUGAGCAUUAUCAGUUGCUUAAAGUAUAGUGAUUGCAAAAUCAAAACAUGCUUGCUAUAUAUGUAAUAGUCCUCAACUUGUUUGCAUGUUUUACUAAAUUUCAAUUGAUAACUACCCCCAUUUUGAGUCCUCAACUUGUUUGCUAUAUAUGUAAAAGUCCUCAACUUGUUUGCUCAACCUCGUCAUCUGAAAGACCACAGAGUUCAUCGGAACCAUCUGAUGUAAAAUCUUCAUUAGCAACUGACCGGUACACGCCAACAAAUUUACACAUAGUGUAUACCUGAGCAUUAUCAGUUGCUUAAAGUAGAGUGACUGCAAAAUCAAAACAUGCUUGCUAUAUAUAUAAUAGUCCUCAACUUGUUUGCACGUUUUACUAAAUUUCAACUGAGAAUUACCCCCAUUUUGAGGA
This is a long non-coding RNA of Papaver somniferum (opium poppy), 1678 nucleotides long. RefSeq lists it as uncharacterized. The transcript is spliced from 6 exons. Lineage: Eukaryota; Viridiplantae; Streptophyta; Magnoliopsida; Ranunculales; Papaveraceae. The record is from RefSeq and is a predicted model, not a curated record.